CCCUUAGAUGUCCUGGGCUGCACGCGCGCUACACUGAUGUGUCCAGUAAGCACCUAACCUCUUCCGAAGGGAACGGGUAACCUUAGCAAAGCACAUCGUGAUGGGGAUAGAUUAUUGCAAUUAUUAGUCUUGAACGAGGAAUUCCUAGUAAGCACAAGUCAUCAGCUUGUGUUGAUUACGUCCCUGCCCUUUGUACACACCGCCCGUCGCACCUACCGAUUGAAUGGUCCGGUGAAAUCUUCGGAUUGAGACUUUGAUUUCUUCACGGAAAACGCUGUUUUAAAAAGUUGAUUAAACCUUACCAUUUAGAGGAAGGUGAAGUCGUAACA
This 329-nucleotide ribosomal RNA is filed under the name uncultured eukaryote. RNAcentral describes it as "partial 18S ribosomal RNA". It matches the Rfam family "Eukaryotic small subunit ribosomal RNA", at positions 1470 to 1796 of the family's 1831-position model. The record is from RNAcentral.